Molecule: ribosomal RNA, 427 nt
Filed under: Gonyostomum semen
Lineage: Eukaryota; Raphidophyceae; Chattonellales; Vacuolariaceae
Description: eukaryotic LSU rRNA
Rfam family: Eukaryotic large subunit ribosomal RNA
Source: RNAcentral
GCGCAAUGAAAGUAAAGGCUGGCUUCCGUCAGCUGAGGUGGGAUCCCCUCGGGGUGCACCAUCGACCGACCAUCUCCCCUCGGGGUCAAGGUUUGAGUUUGAGCAUUUAUGUUGGGACCCGAAAGAUGGUGAACUAUGCCUGAAUAGGGCGAAGCCAGGGGAAACUCUGGUGGAGGCUCGUAGCGAUUCUGACGUGCAAAUCGAUCGUCAAAUUUGGGUAUAGGGGCGAAAGACUAAUCGAACCAUCUAGUAGCUGGUUCCCUCCGAAAUUUCCCUCAGGAUAGCUGCAACCGGUCAAGAGUUUUAUCAGGUAAAGCGAAUGAUUAGAGGCCUCGGGGACGAAAUGUCCUCGACCUAUUCUCAAACUUUAAAUGGGUAAGAACUCGGGGUUGCUUAACUGAACCCCGGCGUUGAAUCUCGGUUGCUA